GACCUCGGAUCAGGCGUGAAUACC
This 24-nucleotide ribosomal RNA is filed under the name Peracreadium characis. Its description in RNAcentral is "partial 28S ribosomal RNA". The record is from RNAcentral. Lineage: Eukaryota; Metazoa; Platyhelminthes; Trematoda; Plagiorchiida; Opecoelidae.